CCGGGGAACCCGGCGCUUCCUCCGGCUCUUCCAGGUGCGAAUCCCGCGUUCUACCUACCCCGUGGGUGCGGAGCGGGGCUCCUUGUUGGCGGCGCCGAUCGCUAGCAGGGUGCAAUAAAACCUGUCUCUUUUGAAGGUGUUUGAACAAAUGUUUUCCUAAAACUUGCCAUAGAAAAUGACUGAAACAAGCUACCAGGACUACGGUUGCCAAUAACAAGCAUGUAGGUAGCUGCAGUGAAUGUCCAACUUUGGGAGCUGUGAAGUUUAAUAACACUUCAUUGUUUUGGUGCAGCACUCAUUUUGGAAUGUAAAAUGAAGACUUGAUCAAGAAACUGAACAGAAGCAAAUGGUGAAAUUAGUAUUUAAUUUGAUAUUAAUAAAUAAGUUAAAGAAAUAGUUAAUUUUAAUUGCUGUGGACAGUAAUUUCUUUAUAAUGCAUGUCUUUAAAACAUCAUUCUCAUAAAAUAAACUUCACACAGAGAAACCCUGUCUCAAAACAAAAUAAAAUAAACUUCUCAUUUUCUCUGA
Grammomys surdaster is the source of this 528-nucleotide long non-coding RNA. RefSeq lists it as uncharacterized. The record is from RefSeq and is a predicted model, not a curated record. The transcript has 4 exons. Lineage: Eukaryota; Metazoa; Chordata; Mammalia; Rodentia; Muridae.